This 1485-nucleotide long non-coding RNA is filed under the name Capra hircus (goat). RNAcentral describes it as "lncRNA (ENSCHIG00010012402.1)". Lineage: Eukaryota; Metazoa; Chordata; Mammalia; Artiodactyla; Bovidae. The record is from RNAcentral.
AUGGCGUGCAAUGGGACUUCAGUGUCCAUCGAUGCCCCCACACCUCCGGCCAGGCUGAGCCCCACAGCCUCGCCCGGGGUCACGAGCCGGGCCAGCACCUUCCAUCCCUGCUCGCUGCUGUCCCCUCGCUUGGUCAGGCCACAGCGGGCCCUCAGCUGGACCGGAGGAAUAGCAAACACCGGCUGUCUCCGUAAGUCAAGGCCCACGUGUUUCUGUUUACACUUAAAUUGCCUUCCGUUUCCACACAACUCAGAGCUACUCUGUUACGUAACAUCAGUACCCUCCACGCCAGGGAGGCAAGCGAAGGUUCGGGGAAGCAGAGCCCACAGGAGCCGUGACAGCUACAGGCCUGCUCCCUGUCAGGGACGGGGGGGAGGCUCUGAGCUGCAGCAUUCACGCUGCCGGUCCGCCCGAGCCUGCGCUCACAUUAAACACACACCUGUUUCUUUUAGAAUCCACCUUCACCAAGUCAGGGCAGAUGACAUGUUUUUUUUAGUAAAUUAUUUUCUCAAAAGCUGCCUCCAGAUAAAAGCUUCACGAGGUGUAAGCAUGAGGAACCGUGCUGGGGCCCAGCAAGAGGCCCACCCGUGUGGCCGUGGCGAGGAGGCUCUCAGGCCAGCCAGCGCGCGAUGGCUGGACCCGGGUGGGCUCCCAUCACACAGCUGCUGCAGCCCCCAGCCCAGGUCAGUGCUCGCCACAACCUGCCGAGUUCUCCCCCAAAAGAGUGAACACAAAACAGCCGUCCAGCCCAUUGGCGUGGUCCCCAGGGCACGUGUGCCACGGGGACACACACAGCUGUCCCAGCCCCCCGUCCACGGGCUCCGAGCAGGACUUUCUCGCCAGGACGCUGGCCUAGCUGCCCCUGGUGUUGGCCUUCAGGCCCUCGACAGCACGCCUGGGGACCUGGCAGAGACAAGCCAGCUCAGAGGCGGCAGGGCAGAGGCUGCACUGGACCAAAGGGUCCCGGGGGCACAUUCCACUUGUGGGCUCUACCUGCAGGCCUCUGGUUGGAACAGAGAGCUGGGUGCAGCUGGGGCACCCACGCCAGGCGGGGAGAACGUGGCUGGACGCAGGCAGGGACAGAGCCUACCCUGCAAACACUCACCGUGGGGGAGAGGGGACCCCGCCUCACACGGGGCCUCACAGCACACUUGGGGCCCUGCGUGCAGAGGGCGUGGUGGGCGCUCUGGCCUAACCCCCGUCAGUGCCUGGGGUGCUGAGGCCAACGUCUGCACACACUCGGAAGAAUCAAACAUGAGCCCACCCAGGACCCCACUGCACAUAGUGAAGCCAGCCUUGGGGUCACCGUGGCUGGCACUUACCAUUCACACAGGUCUCAGCAGGUCUGCAGAGGCCAUCCUCAAACAGGCAGCCUGGGAAGGAGAACAGAGGAGAGACAGUCAGAGCCUCAGUGCGCUGAGGGCCAUGGCCCUGCUGGCCCCGGAGUCCAGGGGGCCGCACGGAGCUGGGGGCCUGCUUCAGUGA